Molecule: transfer RNA, 70 nt
Filed under: Loxodonta africana (African savanna elephant)
Lineage: Eukaryota; Metazoa; Chordata; Mammalia; Proboscidea; Elephantidae
Rfam family: tRNA
About the family: Transfer RNA (tRNA) molecules are approximately 80 nucleotides in length. Their secondary structure includes four short double-helical elements and three loops (D, anti-codon, and T loops). Further hydrogen bonds mediate the characteristic L-shaped molecular structure. tRNAs have two regions of fundamental functional importance: the anti-codon, which is responsible for specific mRNA codon recognition, and the 3' end, to which the tRNAs corresponding amino acid is attached (by aminoacyl-tRNA synthetases). tRNAs cope with the degeneracy of the genetic code in two manners: having more than one tRNA (with a specific anti-codon) for a particular amino acid; and 'wobble' base-pairing, i.e. permitting non-standard base-pairing at the 3rd anti-codon position.
Source: Rfam by way of RNAcentral
GGUUGAUGGUUCAGUGGUCAAAUUCUCACCUUCCAUGUGGGAGACCUGGGUUCAAUUCCUAGCCAACGCA